CUCGCUUUAAAAUGGCGGCAUUCAGUAUACACCCCUGCUAAAGGCUCUCCCGGCACCGGGGCCACCUCGCGCAGCGCUGCUUUUGCUUCUGCCGCUAACACAUGGCAUGUGCCGCUGUCGCUGCCGCUGCCCCUACUGCAGCCGCUGAGAGCAGGGCCCCUUAGCCUCUGGGUUUGCGCUAGCAGCAUAAGGUAAGGCUGGAGAUAAGUUGGGGUUUGUGAGAGUGGCUGCCUUUUUUAGGACGCGAAGAAAUACAAUGGUUUUAAACUUUAUUUUACAAAAUGGCAAAUAGAAGGAAUAU
This 301-nucleotide long non-coding RNA is filed under the name Marmota monax (woodchuck). Lineage: Eukaryota; Metazoa; Chordata; Mammalia; Rodentia; Sciuridae. The record is from RNAcentral.